RNAcentral lists this ribosomal RNA (488 nucleotides) under uncultured bacterium. RNAcentral describes it as "SSU rRNA". It matches the Rfam family "Bacterial small subunit ribosomal RNA", at positions 26 to 523 of the family's 1533-position model. The record is from RNAcentral.
AGAACGAACGUUGGCGGCGUGGAUUAGGCAUGCAAGUCGAAUGAAUCCCAUCUGGGUAACUGGGUGGGGGAAAUGGCGAAAGGGGCAGUAAGGCAUGGGCAACCUACCCCGGGGACGGGGAUAGCCUUUCUAACGAGAGGGUAAUACCUGGCGAUUCAGCGGGGAGGCAUCUUUCUGCUGGGAAACGAGUUUCGCCUCGGGAGGGGCUCAUGUAGUAUUAGCUAGUUGGUAAGGUAACGGCUUACCAAGGCGAAGAUGCUUAGCGGGUGUGAGAGCACGACCCGCGCCACUGGCACUGAGACACUGGCCAGACUCCUACGGGAGGCUGCAGUCGAGGAUCUUCGGCAAUGGGCGCAAGCCUGACCGAGCGACGCCGCGUGUGCGAAGAAGGCCUUCGGGUUGUAAGCACUGUCGAGGGGAAGAAGGCCGUAAGGCUUGAUCGACCCUGGAGGAAGCACGGGCUAAGUUCGUGCCAGCAGCCGCGGUAA